Long non-coding RNA from Bacillus rossius redtenbacheri, 2188 nucleotides. RefSeq lists it as uncharacterized. The record is from RefSeq and is a predicted model, not a curated record. The transcript is spliced from 2 exons. Lineage: Eukaryota; Metazoa; Arthropoda; Insecta; Phasmatodea; Bacillidae.
UCAUGUUUCAGCACAGAAUUGCCGCCCUUGAUAAGCAUAGUGUGUUGUAGUUUUCAAAUUUUCAACCAAGACACGGUGUGCUUUUCAGUUGGAAACUCGCUGCUCGAGUUAAAUAAAAAAAAUUAGUUGCCAGGCAACGACUCGCGCGACACCACAAAACGACGAAAGAAAGAGGGAGAAUAAAACAACUUUGGCGCGAGAAAGGACACCUGUCCCGCACCCCUCCUCCUGAUUCGUGGACUGUUCCCUCAGUACGUGGCACUCCGUCACAGAGUUCAGACCUGCGCUGGUCGUCGGUGCAUUUUUCGCGGGAAAACUUGCAAUCUUGUUGAAGUUCUCGGCAUCGUCAGUCCUGGAACUAAGUUGGAUGCAGUGGCACUCGGAGGAUAAUACUUACAGUCAUCACUGUAGCAGUGGAUCGGCCUCCAUCCGUGGUGCUGGCAGCAUCCUGUGGAAAGCGAACCUGGGACCAUACAUCACCGGGUGGUGAUUCAGCUGCCCUUGGACAGCCCUGCCGACCAAAUCAGCGCGGGACGUCGGCUGACGUCACAGGCGCGCGGUGGCGACGGAGCAGCAGGCGGGAUCACCGCCACCUGCUCCCGUUGGGGUAGUGUCUCGGCGCGACACCUGCCGCCCUGGUCCUGGCCCAGUGCGUGACGCGGCGCCAGCACAUCGUUUGCAGCGCACGUCAUUGUUAGGUACACUUCCGAAGGAAUUCGCGUCUCUGUUCGCUCCUAUUGUCGAGUGCCAUCACUGCGCUCACUUUUCUUAAACCUCUCGUUCGUAAAUCAAAGUUUAUCAAUAUAACAUGUGUGAUCGUGCACUUGCAAGCACGAGUGUCUGCAGGCCUAUCAACUUCUUCUCUUGAUGCAUGCAUACCACUAGACCACCAAAUAUACUUAAAAUAUUAAUGCUUAUAUGUAAUAAUAAUAAAUAAAAUCAUUUAGAUAGCUCUCGGUUCGUAAUCUAUUAACAAGAAUAAUAUAUUAGCUUAAUUAACAAUAAGCUUAUUAAACAUGAAUAACAUAUUUCUUGAAAGUUUUAAAUUCAAGUUACCACAACUUUGCAUAAAUUAAUUGGAAAAUUAAUACAUUUCUCAUAUUGUUAGGAUGUGAUUUUCACAAUGUUCAUUUGCAUGCAGCCUAAGCCUAGUGCUGCCUGUAUACUUCACAAUAUCAUUUCACAUAUCAACUUCAUGUAUAUCUUAUGUCUACAUUUCAUCAACAAUUCAUAAAAAUUUACAAUUCACAAUUUCAUAUCAUAACAUUUACAUUACAUUUAUAUACAGUGUUAUAGGCUGAUAUUAUAAUAGCCUGAUUGUAAUAACAUUUUAAAUGAGUUCUUUAAAUUCUUUAAACAAAAAUUGUUUUUAGCUAAACAAAGUAUUUUUAGCUAGGUAACAAGGCUGUGUGAAAGAAAUCAUACCAUAUGUUCCUUUACUUGCUUAAUUUUCAUCCGCCUCUUUUAUCACAGCAGCAGGCGAAUUCUCUUGUCUUUCCUUUUUUUCUUUUCUUAUCUCAGUCGUCUCGGCGAGUGAGUAACUUGAACUCUGUUAUCUGACUGGUGGCCUCCGAUUUCCUUCUGGCGACUAUCGGAGCAGAUCAGCUGUUCGGUGCUGUUUCAUUUCACUUUCAUUUUCAUCGUGUUUUAUCGACCCGCAGCGGGCUUCGCUGGGUCGGAAAUUCACGUUCAUUUUUCACAAAUAUUCCUUACAGGAAUUUAGCCUUGUAAUGUGUCUGAGGCUCCUAGCCUCGGUGUAGAUAGCAACAUGCUAUAUUAUCAAUUGUAAACAAAACAUGUGUUCUUCAGGAUAGCUUGCAACAGCUCCUGCCGAGUAGUACAUUUUUCAUUUUCUCUCUUCUCAGAGAAGAAUUUAGUAUUUUUUUAAGACAAAAAAAAAAUAAUUAUAUUUUCUUGAAAAUUUUUCUCUUUUGCUGGGAGAAUUGUAUAGCUUGAAGUUGGUUUAUAUUGAGGCCUGUGGACACUCACUGCAAGAGCGUGUCAUCUCGCGACAUAGGAUUCUACACAGUGUUUUUCAGGUCAGCCUAUACCAAGAUUUUUCUUCAACGAAACAAAAUACAUAAACAAACUUCGAAAAAUCGAGUGAUUCAUAUAAUGAAAAUUUAUAAAUUUUCUGUAUAGGUUUUUUUUUUUCACAAUAAAACUUCAUAUAGAUGUUUUCUGCAAA